AUACUUACCUGGCAGGGGUGAUGCAAUGAUUAAAAAGGUUUUUGCCCAGGGCAAGGCUCGGCCAUUGCACUCUGGUCAUGCUGACUUCAAAUUCCUCUAAUGUUGGAAUCUCAACUGCAUAAUUUCUGGUAGUGGACGCUGCAGUUCCCAGUCUUCAG
Molecule: small nuclear RNA, 158 nt
Organism: Alosa alosa (allis shad)
Lineage: Eukaryota; Metazoa; Chordata; Actinopteri; Clupeiformes; Clupeidae
Product: U1 spliceosomal RNA
Exons: 1
Source: RefSeq, a predicted model, not a curated record